UACUAGAGACCGGCGCGCGGGUGCGUAACGCGUAUGCAACCUACCUUUUACAGAGGGAUAGCCCAGAGAAAUUUGGAUUAAUACCUCAUGGUAUAAUUGAAUCGCAUGGUUUAAUUAUUAAAGUUCCAACGGUAAAAGAUGGGCAUGCGUCCUAUUAGCUAGAUGGUAAGGUAACGGCUUACCAUGGCUACGAUAGGUAGGGGUCCUGAGAGGGAGAUCCCCCACACUGGUACUGAGACACGGACCAGACUCCUACGGGAGGCAGCAGUGAGGAAUAUUGGACAAUGGGCGCAAGCCUGAUCCAGCCAUGCCGCGUGCAGGAAGACGCAUCUAUGGUGUGUAAACUGCUUUUGUACGGGAAGAAACACUCCCUCGUGAGGGAGCUUGACGGUACCGUAAGAAUAAGGAUCGGCUAACUCCGUGCCAGCAGCCGCGGUAAUACGGAGGAUCCAAGCGUUAUCCGGAAUCAUUGGGUUUAAAGGGUCCGUAGGCGGUUUGGU
Molecule: ribosomal RNA, 500 nt
Filed under: uncultured Flavobacteriales bacterium
Lineage: Bacteria; Pseudomonadati; Bacteroidota; Flavobacteriia; Flavobacteriales
Description: bacterial SSU rRNA
Rfam family: Bacterial small subunit ribosomal RNA
Source: RNAcentral